GGUCUUAUAGUCUAAAAAAGAUAUUAGGCUGCAAUCCUAAAGAUGUAUAAUUACUAAGGCUU
This 62-nucleotide transfer RNA is filed under the name Cinygmina sp. 07BF86. RNAcentral's name for it is "tRNA-Cys". Lineage: Eukaryota; Metazoa; Arthropoda; Insecta; Ephemeroptera; Heptageniidae. The record is from RNAcentral.